GUUCUAAUGAAGUCCCAGUUAAACAACGUGAGCUCCGCCGAGGCUUAAGUACGGCGAGCAGCGCGCCACCCACCGCAGCCGAGGCCCCUCGCAGCGCCUCCCCGGCUCUGCCCGGCCCUGAAAGAUGUAAAAUAUAAAACACCGGAUAACAAAUCGCCACCAUUCUAAUUAAAGCUGGGACGGGAUGAGCAAUGGACUCAUUUAUCAUACAUGUCCUCGUGCGCACACGCACAAAACCGGGCCCACUUGAGCCAGACCGGCGACAACCGCCUGUUCUCUCAACCAGCCGCUAGGUGGCGGUCUGCUCCACCUGAACGGGCCGAAAACGAGAGCUCGAUGCAGAGAUGACGCAGAGGUGAAGCUCACGGCCAAGACAGUGAGGGAUUGAGUUUCUCACCUAAAAGACCAGAAUGUGUGCUUUAAUAUAAAAUAUAUAUAUUUACUUUGUUUUUAGAAUGUUAAAAUUUCAUGAUUAAUUAUAUUGUAACAAGUCAAUAUGAUAAUAAGCAUAUGCCAUCAAUGGACAUUGAUCUUUAUUAUGUAGAUAAUGCAGCUACCUAUUUAAUUAUAAACCCACCAAAUAUAAACCCAUGCUCAGUGGUGAAAAGCAUUAAACCUACAGCAGGAUUAACUUUUUGCUUCCAGGAACAAAGGUUGUCGUACGUUCUGAUUGGUCAACAUUUUACACAGAAGCGUCCUCAUACAGGAAAUGUUCAGAUUUAAUGAAGAUAAUCUAGUGCUGCAAGCUUUCCUGCUGCUCAGUUCUGUGUAUUUAAAGGUAAACAACUGCUUGGAGCCCUUCAGAUUCGUUGGUACAAUUCUUUCUUGGUUCUCUGCUGUUUGUGCUUUUUUGAAACCAAAUAAUGAACUCUGUAAUUAUAAACAAUGUUUAUAUUAAUGUAAUUGUUCCCAUCGUGAUAAAUGAUGAAAACAGUUUGAAAAAUGAGACACCAUUGCUUGUGUAGAGGUUUAAUGGUAAAGAAAACACAACUGAGGCCUUGAAUUGUUUAGGUUGAUGGUUGUGUGUCUUCGUAUACUUGAGUUAUUAAAUAUUAAAGCGAUUAGUUAUAAUGUAUAA
This is a long non-coding RNA of Betta splendens (Siamese fighting fish), 1078 nucleotides long. RefSeq lists it as uncharacterized. The transcript has 2 exons. The record is from RefSeq and is a predicted model, not a curated record. NCBI's taxonomy places the organism in Eukaryota, Metazoa, Chordata, Actinopteri, Anabantiformes, Osphronemidae.